This 302-nucleotide ribosomal RNA is filed under the name uncultured bacterium. Its description in RNAcentral is "partial 16S ribosomal RNA". It matches the Rfam family "Bacterial small subunit ribosomal RNA", at positions 508 to 807 of the family's 1533-position model. The record is from RNAcentral.
GCAGCAGCCACGGUAAUACGUAGGUGGCAAGCGUUGUCCGGAAUUAUUGGGCGUAAAGGGCUCGCAGGCGGUUUCUUAAGUCUGAUGUGAAAGCCCCCAGCUCAACCGGGGAGGGUCAUUGGAAACUGGGAAACUUGAGUGCAGAAGAGGAGAGUGGAAUUCCACGUGUAGCGGUGAAAUGCGUAGAGAUGUGGAGGAACACCAGUGGCGAAGGCGACUCUCUGGUCUGUAACUGGCGCUGAGGAGCGAAAGCGUGGGGAGCGAACAGGAUUAGAUACCCCAGUAGUCCCUGUCUCUUAUAC